RNAcentral lists this microRNA precursor (64 nucleotides) under Cebus imitator (Panamanian white-faced capuchin). RNAcentral's name for it is "miRNA (ENSCCAG00000020471.1)". Lineage: Eukaryota; Metazoa; Chordata; Mammalia; Primates; Cebidae. The record is from RNAcentral.
AGGUUAGUGCAAAAGUAAUUGCAGUUUUGCCAUUACUUUUGAUGGCAAAAAGCGCAAUUACUUU